Molecule: ribosomal RNA, 646 nt
Filed under: uncultured bacterium
Lineage: Bacteria
Description: bacterial SSU rRNA
Rfam family: Bacterial small subunit ribosomal RNA (bases 1-551)
Source: RNAcentral
CCUACGGGAGGCAGCAGUGGGGAAUAUUGGACAAUGGGCGCAAGCCUGAUCCAGCCAUACCGCGUGUGUGAAGAAGGCCUUUUGGUUGUAAAGCACUUUAAGCGAGGAGGAGGCUCUUGAGGAUAAUACCCUUGAUGAGUGGACGUUACUCGCAGAAUAAGCACCGGCUAACUCUGUGCCAGCAGCCGCGGUAAUACAGAGGGUGCGAGCGUUAAUCGGAAUUACUGGGCGUAAAGCGCGCGUAGGCGGCUUGUUAAGUCGGAUGUGAAAUCCCCGGGCUCAACCUGGGCACUGCAUUCGAUACUGGCAAGCUAGAGUAUGGGAGAGGAAGGUAGAAUUCCAGGUGUAGCGGUGAAAUGCGUAGAGAUCUGGAGGAAUACCGAUGGCGAAGGCAGCCUUCUGGCCUAAUACUGACGCUGAGGUGCGAAAGCAUGGGGAGCAAACAGGAUUAGAUACCCUGGUAGUCCAUGCCGUAAAACGAUGUCAACUAGCCGUUGGGGACCUUGAGUCUUUAGUGGCGCNGCGUAACGUACGAGUUAAGUUAGUACGACCGUUCGGGUAGGUUAGGGUUCGGCGAGAACGAAACGUUAACGAAACGAAAGUUAGAGGACGNGNGGAGAGCGACGGACGACGACAGGAGGAGGNG